GCUGAAUCAUGGGGGCAGUUUCCCCCGUACUGUCCUCGUGAUAGCGAAUAAGUCUCAGGAGAUCUGAUGGUUUUAUAAACGAGAGUUCCCCUGCAGAAGCUCUCUGGUCUGCCACAUGUAAGACAUGACUUUGUUCUUCCUUCAUCUUCCACCAUGAUCGUGAGGCCUCUCCAGCCAUGUGGAACUGUGAGUCUGUUAAACCUCCUUUUCUUUAUAAAUUACCCAGUCUCAGGUAAGUCUUUAUUAGCAGUGUGAGAACAGACUAAUACAAUAUUCAUCCUAUUGUUUCUUUUUCUCUGGAGAACCCUAUUACACCAGAUUUUUGUUUGUUGUUGUUGUUAGAAGUUAGGAAUACAGCAAUGGACAAGAUGGCCAAGUCCCAAGCACUGCCGGAGUAGCUGAUGGAACCUCCUCUGUGUAGGACAUUGUCAGUCUUGUGUCAGAUGGAAAAGGACUUCACAACUGUAAGCUGGCUCCUAAAGCAUCUGCUCAGAAGUGACACAGAUAAGUUUUGUCUACAUUUUGUUGGCCAAAGCAAGUCACAUGGAUUCAACAGUUUGAUCAUAUAUAAUUCUCCCUCAGGGUAGGGCCCACAAGCCAUAUAGCCAAGCUUG
RNAcentral lists this long non-coding RNA (614 nucleotides) under Homo sapiens (human). Its description in RNAcentral is "HSALNT0252612". Lineage: Eukaryota; Metazoa; Chordata; Mammalia; Primates; Hominidae. The record is from RNAcentral.